CUCAUCUUCGUCCCCUACAUCUAUGACUUUGGACACAAUGAGACUUCUUCUGAUGUCCUUGCCUCCAGUAACAGCCCUUUCUUGC
RNAcentral lists this non-coding RNA (85 nucleotides) under Gloeochaete wittrockiana. The record is from RNAcentral. Lineage: Eukaryota; Glaucocystophyceae; Gloeochaetales; Gloeochaetaceae.